GAUGAAGAACGCAGCGAAAUGCGAUACUUGGUGUGAAUUGCAGAAUCCCGUGAACCAUCGAGUCUUUGAACGCAAGUUGCGCCCGAAGCCAUUAGGCCGAGGGCACGCCUGCCUGGGCGUCACACGUCGUUGCCCCCCCAUCUACUCCUUCGGGAUUGCGGGGGGCGGAUGAUGGCCUCCCGUGCGCCUCGUCGCGCGGUUGGCAUAAAUACCAAGUCCUCGGCGACGCACGCCACGACAAUCGGUGGUUGCGAAACCUCGGUUGCCCGUCGUGUGCGGUCGUCGCGCAUCGAGGGCUCGAAAAAAUUGCCGGGCUCCGGCUCGGCUUUCAACGCGACCCCAGGUCAGGCGGGGUUACCCGCUGAAUUUAAGCAUAUCAAUAAGCGGAGGA
Molecule: unclassified non-coding RNA, 391 nt
Filed under: soil metagenome
Description: partial contains 5.8S ribosomal RNA, internal transcribed spacer 2, and large subunit ribosomal RNA
Rfam family: 5.8S ribosomal RNA (bases 1-122)
Source: RNAcentral